Molecule: non-coding RNA, 92 nt
Organism: Termitomyces sp. T159_Od127
Lineage: Eukaryota; Fungi; Basidiomycota; Agaricomycetes; Agaricales; Lyophyllaceae
Source: the annotation of a GenBank genome assembly
UCGGAUAUGGUGUAACGGCUAACAUUGCCGCCUUUCACUUGCCUUGGCACCUGUCUACGCGGCAGCUCGGGGUUCGAUUCCCCGUAUCCGAA